AUUGAACGCUGGCGGCAGGCCUAACACAUGCAAGUCGAGCGGAUGAAGGGAGCUUGCUCCUGGAUUCAGCGGCGGACGGGUGAGUAAUGCCUAGGAAUCUGCCUGGUAGUGGGGGAUAACGUCCGGAAACGGGCGCUAAUACCGCAUACGUCCUGAGGGAGAAAGUGGGUGAUCUUCGGACCUCACGCUAUCAGAUGAGCCUAGGUCGGAUUAGCUAGCUGGUGGGGUAAAGGCCUACCAAGGCGACGAUCCGUAACUGGUCUGAGAGGAUGAUCAGUCACACUGGAACUGAGACACGGUCCAGACUCCUACGGGAGGCAGCGGUGGGGAAUAUUGGACAAUGGGCGAAAGCCUGAUCCAGACAUGCCGCGUGUGUGAAGAAGGUCUUCGGAUUGUAAAGCACUUUAAGUUGGGAGGAAGAGCAGUAAGUUAAUACCUUGCUGUUUUGACGUUACCAACAGAAUAAGCACCGGCUAACUUCGUG
RNAcentral lists this ribosomal RNA (484 nucleotides) under uncultured bacterium. RNAcentral's name for it is "partial 16S ribosomal RNA". It matches the Rfam family "Bacterial small subunit ribosomal RNA", at positions 30 to 507 of the family's 1533-position model. The record is from RNAcentral.